UCUCAUGAACCAAAUACAGUGUUCUUGCACACGUUCUGAUCUCUGCUGCACCAAUAUGUGAUUUCAUAAUGGAAGGCAUUCUCCAUUCUGUACUGAGAAGCCUAUGGCCAUGUAACUUCCUGGAGACUAUCAUCUGUCCAGUGCAUCCACUCCAACCACAAUGGGGUCCCUAGGAUUUGGAGCCACUGGUGACUUUACCGAGAGCCAAAAUGGAGAGUUCUGCAGAAAACAUGCGCGGUGAGAAAGUGAAGACAAUGCCUACAGAUGACUCUUCAGUCGGGACCUAUAUUCUUGGAGCAAUCCAAAACGGAAGCGUGCUCAACACAGUGUGCUUUCAUAAUGAAAGCACUUACAGAACCUCAGGGCACCCUAUUUCUCAUUAAUUACUGUGUCCAAGAAAAUGAGCAAAAGGACAACGCUAACAAGAUGGCGUGGAGAGAUUCUUUUUCCAGUUCUUGAGGGUCAACCGGGAAACUGGAAAACAUGAUUUUACGGACGAGAGGCAUCAUGGCUUUAAAACGAAUAAGCAGACAGGCACAUUUCAUCCACCACCCACCCCAUCUGCCUCGUCAACCAGGUCCCCACAAUGUGUAAAGUGACAAACUGAAACGGGGGAGGAAGGGAACAGAACAGGGUCAGUCAGAGAAAUGUAAUCCAAAGUAAAAAUCAUUUCUGUUUGGAGCUCACAAAAGAUCUGGGUUACCGUCGGCUGCAAACUGCUGCUCUCCUGGCUGCAGGUCUGGCCGGAAGUCGUUCUCCUCAUCAGAGUCAUCUGGAUGAUGGUGGUUGUUAUCGUGGAUGUUGGCAUUAUUCUGGGCAUUAUUGUCAUUGUCAUUGUUGGAGUUCUGGUUGCUAACAAGGGCCGAGGAAACCCCGAUUCCUGUGCCUGCACUUAGACCAACUCGAGCACAGCCCUAAGGCAAGACGAAACCACAAUGCGUGUUCAUUGUAGUACAGAACACUUCAUUUUUAACAUUCCUUCAUCUUUAUGUAAGAAUAUCUACAUAGCACGACUUUCACAUAUGCAUAAAGGACCUUAUUAAAGGCAAGCAAGACAAAGUGUUAUCAGUCUGGAUUUAUAGGUGAUGAAAUGCACAGUGGAAAGAGGUCUGUGCUAUAGCUGCGACCUGAAACCCCACAUUCUAACCUCAAAUCCUGAGCCUCCACCCACUAUAUUGUACUGCUUCCAACAGUGGGAAUGUGACCAUUAAGAACUGAGGAGAGGGGCUCCUGGGUGGCUCAGUUGGUUAAGCGUCAGACUUCAGCUUAGGUCAUGAUCUCACGGUUUGUGGGUUCGAGCCCCGUGUCGGGCUCUGUGCUGACAGCUCAGAGCCUGGAGCCUGCUUCGGAUUCUGGGUCUCCCUCUCUCUCUGCUCCUCCCCAGUUUGCACUCUGUCUCUCUCAAAUAAAUAAACAUUAAAAAAAAAAAUUAAGAACUGAGAAGAGGAAAAAAAAACUGAGGAGAGAGAAGAUAAUUA
Molecule: long non-coding RNA, 1478 nt
Organism: Neofelis nebulosa (Clouded leopard)
Lineage: Eukaryota; Metazoa; Chordata; Mammalia; Carnivora; Felidae
Exons: 3
Source: RefSeq, a predicted model, not a curated record